RNAcentral lists this ribosomal RNA (805 nucleotides) under uncultured bacterium. RNAcentral describes it as "bacterial SSU rRNA". It matches the Rfam family "Bacterial small subunit ribosomal RNA", at positions 61 to 912 of the family's 1533-position model. The record is from RNAcentral.
GUUGUACGAGAGUUUUAAACUCCAGUAGCGGACGGGUGAGUAACACGUAAGAAUUUGCCUUUAGGAGGGGGAUAACAGUUGGAAACGACUGCUAAUACCCCAUAUGCUAACAGUGAAAUGGAUUUUCCGCCUAAAGAGAAGCUUGCGGCUGAUUAGCUUGUUGGUAAGGUAAUGGCUUACCAAGGCGACGAUCAGUAUCUGGUUUGAGAGGACGAUCAGACACACUGGAACUGAGACACGGUCCAGACUCCUACGGGAGGCAGCAGUAGGGAAUUUUCCGCAAUGGGCGAAAGCCUGACGGAGCAAUACCGCGUGAGGGAUGACUGCCUAUGGGUUGUAAACCUCUUUUUUCAGGGAGGAAUAAAUGACGUGUACCUGAAGAAUAAGCAUCGGCUAACUCCGUGCCAGCAGCCGCGGUAAGACGGAGGAUGCAAGUGUUAUCCGGAAUCACUGGGCGUAAAGCGUCUGUAGGUUGUUUAAUAAGUCAACUGUUAAAUCUUGGGGCUCAACUCCAAACUUGCAGUUGAAACUAUUCGACUAGAGUAUAGUAGGGGUAAAGGGAAUUUCCAGUGGAGCGGUGAAAUGCGUAGAUAUUGGAAAGAACACCGAUGGCGAAGGCACUUUACUGGGCUAUUACUGACACUCAGAGACGAAAGCUAGGGUAGCAAAUGGGAUUAGAUACCCCAGUAGUCCUAGCCGUAAACAAUGGAUACUAUAUGUUGCAUACUUUAUGCAGUAUUAAAGCUAACGCGUUAAGUAUCCCGCCUGGGAAGUACGCUCACAAGAGUGAAACUCAAAGGAAUUG